Molecule: ribosomal RNA, 2901 nt
Filed under: Shigella dysenteriae
Lineage: Bacteria; Pseudomonadati; Pseudomonadota; Gammaproteobacteria; Enterobacterales; Enterobacteriaceae
Also listed under: 1 other name
Description: bacterial LSU rRNA
Rfam family: Bacterial large subunit ribosomal RNA
Source: RNAcentral
UUAAGCGACUAAGCGUACACGGUGGAUGCCCUGGCAGUCAGAGGCGAUGAAGGACGUGCUAAUCUGCGAUAAGCGUCGGUAAGGUGAUAUGAACCGUUAUAACCGGCGAUUUCCGAAUGGGGAAACCCAGUGUGAUUCGUCACACUAUCAUUAACUGAAUCCAUAGGUUAAUGAGGCGAACCGGGGGAACUGAAACAUCUAAGUACCCCGAGGAAAAGAAAUCAACCGAGAUUCCCCCAGUAGCGGCGAGCGAACGGGGAGCAGCCCAGAGCCUGAAUCAGUGUGUGUGUUAGUGGAAGCGUCUGGAAAGGCGUGCGAUACAGGGUGACAGCCCCGUACACAAAAAUGCACAUAUUGUGAGCUCGAUGAGUAGGGCGGGACACGUGGUAUCCUGUCUGAAUAUGGGGGGACCAUCCUCCAAGGCUAAAUACUCCUGACUGACCGAUAGUGAACCAGUACCGUGAGGGAAAGGCGAAAAGAACCCCGGCGAGGGGAGUGAAAAAGAACCUGAAACCGUGUACGUACAAGCAGUGGGAGCACGCUUAGGCGUGUGACUGCGUACCUUUUGUAUAAUGGGUCAGCGACUUAUAUUCUGUAGCAAGGUUAACCGAAUAGGGGAGCCGAAGGGAAACCGAGUCUUAACUGGGCGUUAAGUUGCAGGGUAUAGACCCGAAACCCGGUGAUCUAGCCAUGGGCAGGUUGAAGGUUGGGUAACACUAACUGGAGGACCGAACCGACUAAUGUUGAAAAAUUAGCGGAUGACUUGUGGCUGGGGGUGAAAGGCCAAUCAAACCGGGAGAUAGCUGGUUCUCCCCGAAAGCUAUUUAGGUAGCGCCUCGUGAAUUCAUCUCCGGGGGUAGAGCACUGUUUCGGCAAGGGGGUCAUCCCGACUUACCAACCCGAUGCAAACUGCGAAUACCGGAGAAUGUUAUCACGGGAGACACACGGCGGGUGCUAACGUCCGUCGUGAAGAGGGAAACAACCCAGACCGCCAGCUAAGGUCCCAAAGUCAUGGUUAAGUGGGAAACGAUGUGGGAAGGCCCAGACAGCCAGGAUGUUGGCUUAGAAGCAGCCAUCAUUUAAAGAAAGCGUAAUAGCUCACUGGUCGAGUCGGCCUGCGCGGAAGAUGUAACGGGGCUAAACCAUGCACCGAAGCUGCGGCAGCGACACUAUGUGUUGUUGGGUAGGGGAGCGUUCUGUAAGCCUGUGAAGGUGUACUGUGAGGUAUGCUGGAGGUAUCAGAAGUGCGAAUGCUGACAUAAGUAACGAUAAAGCGGGUGAAAAGCCCGCUCGCCGGAAGACCAAGGGUUCCUGUCCAACGUUAAUCGGGGCAGGGUGAGUCGACUCCUAAGGCGAGGCCGAAAGGCGUAGUCGAUGGGAAACAGGUUAAUAUUCCUGUACUUGGUGUUACUGCGAAGGGGGGACGGAGAAGGCUAUGUUGGCCGGGCGACGGUUGUCCCGGUUUAAGCGUGUAGGCUGGUUUUCCAGGCAAAUCCGGAAAACUAAGGCUGAGGCGUGAUGACGAGGCACUACGGUGCUGAAGCAACAAAUGCCCUGCUUCCAGGAAAAGCCUCUAAGCAUCAGGUAACAUCAAAUCGUACCCCAAACCGACACAGGUGGUCAGGUAGAGAAUACCAAGGCGCUUGAGAGAACUCGGGUGAAGGAACUAGGCAAAAUGGUGCCGUAACUUCGGGAGAAGGCACGCUGAUAUGUAGGUGAAGUCCCUCGCGGAUGGAGCUGAAAUCAGUCGAAGAUACCAGCUGGCUGCAACUGUUUAUUAAAAACACAGCACUGUGCAAACACGAAAGUGGACGUAUACGGUGUGACGCCUGCCCGGUGCCGGAAGGUUAAUUGAUGGGGUCAGCGCAAGCGAAGCUCUUGAUCGAAGCCCCGGUAAACGGCGGCCGUAACUAUAACGGUCCUAAGGUAGCGAAAUUCCUUGUCGGGUAAGUUCCGACCUGCACGAAUGGCGUAAUGAUGGCCAGGCUGUCUCCACCCGAGACUCAGUGAAAUUGAACUCGCUGUGAAGAUGCAGUGUACCCGCGGCAAGACGGAAAGACCCCGUGAACCUUUACUAUAGCUUGACACUGAACAUUGAGCCUUGAUGUGUAGGAUAGGUGGGAGGCUUUGAAGUGUGGACGCCAGUCUGCAUGGAGCCGACCUUGAAAUACCACCCUUUAAUGUUUGAUGUUCUAACGUUGACCCGUAAUCCGGGUUGCGGACAGUGUCUGGUGGGUAGUUUGACUGGGGCGGUCUCCUCCUAAAGAGUAACGGAGGAGCACGAAGGUUGGCUAAUCCUGGUCGGACAUCAGGAGGUUAGUGCAAUGGCAUAAGCCAGCUUGACUGCGAGCGUGACGGCGCGAGCAGGUGCGAAAGCAGGUCAUAGUGAUCCGGUGGUUCUGAAUGGAAGGGCCAUCGCUCAACGGAUAAAAGGUACUCCGGGGAUAACAGGCUGAUACCGCCCAAGAGUUCAUAUCGACGGCGGUGUUUGGCACCUCGAUGUCGGCUCAUCACAUCCUGGGGCUGAAGUAGGUCCCAAGGGUAUGGCUGUUCGCCAUUUAAAGUGGUACGCGAGCUGGGUUUAGAACGUCGUGAGACAGUUCGGUCCCUAUCUGCCGUGGGCGCUGGAGAACUGAGGGGGGCUGCUCCUAGUACGAGAGGACCGGAGUGGACGCAUCACUGGUGUUCGGGUUGUCAUGCCAAUGGCACUGCCCGGUAGCUAAAUGCGGAAGAGAUAAGUGCUGAAAGCAUCUAAGCACGAAACUUGCCCCGAGAUGAGUUCUCCCUGACUCCUUGAGAGUCCUGAAGGAACGUUGAAGACGACGACGUUGAUAGGUCGGGUGUGUAAGCGCAGCGAUGCGUUGAGCUAACCGGUACUAAUGAACCGUGAGGCUUAACCUU